Molecule: ribosomal RNA, 253 nt
Filed under: uncultured bacterium
Lineage: Bacteria
Description: partial 16S ribosomal RNA
Rfam family: Bacterial small subunit ribosomal RNA
Source: RNAcentral
UACGUAGGGAGCAAGCGUUGUCCGGAAUCAUUGGGCGUAAAGAGCGUGUAGGCGGCUUCACAGGUCUGCUGUGAAAACUCGAGGCUCAACCUCGAGCUGUCGGUGGAAACCGUGGGGCUAGAGUCCGGAAGAGGAGAGUGGAAUUCCCGGUGUAGCGGUGAAAUGCGCAGAUAUCGGGAAGAACACCCGUGGCGAAGGCGGCUCUCUGGGACGGUACUGACGCUGAGACGCGAAAGCGUGGGGAGCAAACAGG